Molecule: ribosomal RNA, 494 nt
Filed under: uncultured bacterium
Lineage: Bacteria
Description: bacterial SSU rRNA
Rfam family: Bacterial small subunit ribosomal RNA
Source: RNAcentral
AAAGGAAUAGACGGGGGCCCGCACAAGCGGUGGAGCAUGUUGCUUAAUUCGAGGCAACGCGAAGAACCUUACCCAGGUUUGACAUCGGAGGCACCGGCCCGAAACGGCCGUUCCGGCAACGGACCUCCAGACAGAUGCUGCAUGGCUGUCGUCAGCUCGUGCCGUGAGGUGUUCGGUUAAGUCCGGCAACGAGCGCAACCCAUGCCGCCAGUUGCCACCGGGUGAUGCCGGGGACUCUGGCGGGACCGCCCGUGUCAAGCGGGAGGAAGGCGUGGACGACGUCAAGUCCGUAUGGCUCCUACGCCUGGGGCCGCAAACGUGCUACAAUGGCCGGUACAGAAGGACGCUUGGCCGCGAGGCCCGGCAAAUCCCCAAAGCCGGCCCCAGUUCGGAUUGCAGCCUGCAACUCGGCUGCAUGAAGCCGGAAUCGCUAGUAAAGGGGCAUCAGCCACGGCCCCUUGAAUACGUUCCCGGGCCUUGUACACACCGCCCGU